Molecule: long non-coding RNA, 2095 nt
Organism: Passer montanus (Eurasian tree sparrow)
Lineage: Eukaryota; Metazoa; Chordata; Aves; Passeriformes; Passeridae
Exons: 4
Source: RefSeq, a predicted model, not a curated record
GCGCCUCCUGUGGCGAGAGGGCUGAGGGAGCGCGGGGCGGGCGCGGCUCUGCCCGCCGGGACACACCGGGAACACCGGGACUGCCGGCCGGGACACACCGGGAACACCGGGACUGCCGGCCGGGACACACCGGGACUGCCCGCCGGGACACACCGGGGCUGCCGGCCGGGACACAGCGGGACUGCCCGCAAAGCCUGGCCGCUGCCGGCUGCGCAACACGCCUGGAGGAAACAGACGCGCUCAUGUCCAGCAACAGUUCGCUUGUCGUUCAUGUGAGCUGAGUUAGCUGACAGGCUAGAGCCAAGACAUGGGAUGUUCAACACCAUGCGUUCUUCAGGUUGUGAAUUAGACCAUCUCAGGAUGAGGGGAAAUUGAUGUUCCCAGAAUCUGAGAGAUACAGCUUUUGUAACAAUUCUUAGAGAAGUGCCACCACCUCUCUGCAAAUACAGGAACCUGGAGUAAAACAAUGAUGUCUGAGCCUGGGAAGAGGAUACAGAACUCAAGUGGUUGUUGUGAUUCUGCUGGAAUUCCCAAACAUUUUGCUGUCGUUGUCCUGUGUGCACCCUGUGUGCAGCCCUUCCUUGACCUGACUAACCUCAUCUGGGACCUUUAUCCCACUUAUGGCUCAGAAAUCUCUUUUAAGCUCAGACCCAGUCCUGGGGUCCUUUGUGUGAGCGAUGUUGUUGAGGUGCUGGCCUGGACUCUUGUCUCUUGGGUGGACCUGAGACCUGUGCUGUGAUUGUCUGGGGCAGCCCCUUCUCGGAGCAGCCAGUCCUCUCUGCACCUUGACAUUCCUUAACUGGAAUACCUGCUGCUGGAAAUACAUCGUGACAUCUGCCUACCCAGCUAUCUCGUUUCUGAUAUUCCUGACAUAUUCAUCCAAAAGCAUAAUGUAUUUCACUUUUUAAAAAAAAACCCAUGUAAUUCUAUAUUGCAAAAGGAUAAAGUCUGUGUCAGAAAAGGGGGGGCAAUAAACGGCUUAUUUAUUGGGAGAAUAUUUUGUUUAACGUCACUUUGUUUUCUCUGAAAUUUCCUCUGACUUUCUGAAUUUCUAGCUUUGUCAUUGUGGAUUGGAUUAUUGUAUUAAAGUACUUCUGAACUGAAAAAGAAAUCCAUCCUCCUUAAUUACAAUGCAAUGAAAAAGCUAAAUUGAUUUAAAAUAUUGGAAAACAGCAACUUUAUCUCCAAACAGAGCUUUUUCAUUUUUGUUGAAAUGUUCUCCAGAUCAAAGUAGCACCUUAAUAUUUUUAAGUUGAGUCACAGAAUUGAGUUAUGGAUACCUCUUAAUAAUAGGAUAUAUAAUAAAUGUUCUUUAGCCAUUGCUAAAGAACAUUUAGCAAUGCUUAUUAUUAGCAUAAUUUUACAGAGAUCUCACAGUAGCCCUGUCAGUAGCUUUAUAGAGGCGUGUAAUAAAACCAACCACAUAAGUAUCCCAACAGAAUAAAAAUCAAAUAUGUGGCUGCAGGAUUUUCUAGACAAGGAGGAAAAACUCCUAAAUUAAAAGUACUUCAGUGGAAGCUGUCCCCAUGAAUAAGCUGUUCAGCCCUGCUUACAGGAGGAAAUGUUGAGGCACCAGAACAGAAUUCCAGACCUGUCUCCAAGCAGGAAUUCUUUAGUGGUUUUCCACAGCACCUGCCUUUCUUCCUAUUUGUGUGGCAUUGCAGAAACUGCUGCAAGAAAUGGAAUAGACUUUCAUGGUGUGUAUUUGAAUAAGUAAUGCACUGUGGUAGAUGUCAAAUUAGCUCUGUUGUUAUUAAAGAAUUUGUUUUCUUGCUCUGUCAGUAUGGGCAAGCUACCUUACUUGGGUGUGCCUCUGUUGCUUCCCAACCUGUUAACUUUAUGUCCACUGUAAAAAAAAAAGAAGGAAAAAAAUAACCAAAAACUGUUUAAGCUGUCACCUAGUUUAUACUCUGGAGAACUGGGGAAUCUUAGGUGACAGUGAAAUACUUUAAGCUGUUUGUUUUGCUGACAGGCUGACUUUCUAUUUAAUUUCUGAUGUUGUUCUAAUUUCCUCUCAAAGUCAUCAUCCUUCCCCAUCACUUUGGCAGUAUUUUUCCAAGCCAUCUGGAUGUAUAUGGAUCUUAUGACCAUCCCC